GGGAGCCGGAUGAGUCGAGAGGCUCACGUCCGGUUCUGCGAGGGGCCGUGGGUGAAAUUCCCACGGUCUACUCACC
Molecule: non-coding RNA, 76 nt
Filed under: Duganella sp. CF458
Lineage: Bacteria; Pseudomonadati; Pseudomonadota; Betaproteobacteria; Burkholderiales; Oxalobacteraceae
Source: RNAcentral